AUGUGCUACAGAUUUAUAUGUAUACAAGAAGAUCGAUCUUGCCUCUUAUGCAGUCUGGUAGAUUUGGAAAGAAAGGAAUUGCAGAUUUUAUUUGGACAAAGAGAUAAAGCCACAAAGCAGGAUUCGAUUCGGUACAAGACCAUCACCGAUGCAGACAACAAGGGGUUCAUCGUGCCAGGCACCUCGGUGCUGCUUCCGUGCGACGGCGGCAGCGGCUACAGAAACAGCUACGGUGAGCUCCUCUCCUCGCCUCCAGUGGUUGCUCUGAGCUCAACAUGGCCAUCGUGCCAUGGCUAUGUCUGGUUAGGCUGCUACAGGUACGCCUUGCAUAAUGAUGGUGCUACUCUUUGUUUGUUUGUUCGUUUCUCUGCCUUGCUGCCUGCCUGA
This 387-nucleotide ribosomal RNA is filed under the name Triticum aestivum (bread wheat). RNAcentral describes it as "partial small subunit ribosomal RNA". The record is from RNAcentral. Lineage: Eukaryota; Viridiplantae; Streptophyta; Magnoliopsida; Poales; Poaceae.